RNAcentral lists this ribosomal RNA (253 nucleotides) under uncultured bacterium. RNAcentral describes it as "partial 16S ribosomal RNA". It matches the Rfam family "Bacterial small subunit ribosomal RNA", at positions 524 to 776 of the family's 1533-position model. The record is from RNAcentral.
UACGUAGGGUGCAAGCGUUGUCCGGAAUUAUUGGGCGUAAAGCGCGCGCAGGCGGUUUCUUAAGUCUGAUGUGAAAGCCCACGGCUCAACCGUGGAGGGUCAUUGGAAACUGGGAAACUUGAGUGCAGAAGAGAAGAGUGGAAUUCCACGUGUAGCGGUGAAAUGCGUAGAGAUGUGGAGGAACACCAGUGGCGAAGGCGACUCUUUGGUCUGUAACUGACGCUGAGGCGCGAAAGCGUGGGGAGCAAACAGG